CUUAUUACAAUCACAAAGGAGGAAGCGGGGAUUUAUGACUUCAUGCAGUUUAAACCACCUGCCUGCCUAAGUGGCAAAGCUAGCUGCUCACAGGACAGCUCUGAAUCUGACUAAGCUUAUUCCAUCAAACUUCACUCCAGAAUUUUCAAAUCACCGAACCCCAAAGUUAUGGGAAUUUGUUGCCAAGGGAGAAAGACAGUGGAAUUUCUGCUGCCUACUGAGCCCGGAGGCUGGGUCAUCUUGCAGUAGCUUCCACAACAUUCCCAGGCUACGAGAGCUUACAGUCCAUUAGCACUGAAUCAGGUUUUCAUCAGGAGGUCAUCCUAAAACCUGAAAGAGCCCUGUAAAAGAGUGAGUGCUGAAGAGAAGAAUGUCCACUCUCUGAAGCAUUUUGUGUGGUAAAUGCUAAUGGAGAAGUCUGUCUGUGGGCUUUUUCAAACCUCCCUCCUGAGUAGUUAUCUAUGUGUCUCCACAUCUCCCUGUGCUUUCCACAAAGCAGCGUUUGAGAGUCAGAAUCACAGAGAAUCACAGGCAGCUUUCCUGAUCUGCAGAAACUAUAAAACUGACCCAAUAGAUAUGGAUAUCGCCUCAUCAGCAAAGCAGCACUCUCGCAUAUUCUUUCCUGAAGGUAUAAUCCAACAUUAAAUUCAGGAUUUAUAUAGUUUCAAUAUGCUCCUCAUUGAUUCCAGAUUAGACUGUAUUGCCUGCCCUCAUGAGAUGUGUUUCUCCUCCAAGAAUUCCUGAUAGUCCUCUGGUGUGUAUGUGUGUGCACUCAUGCAUUUGGCUUUCAGCUACAGCCACCAUAUGGCGACUACCACACUUACCCUUCUCCUGCAAGAGGCACACAGCCUACCCUGAGUUUUCCGGUGGUUCUGAACAGGGGCCCAAAGAUGCCUGUGACUCAGGCUCUCCAUCACCAUUACAAUAGAAAGAAUGGACAUACAAAGAAUCACAUUUGCCUUCCACUUCUGCAAUUUGCUGACCCUAGCAGACUACACGAACUAGAUGAUUGGAACUCCUCAAGGGUAACCUCUGUAAGACUGCAGACUUAAAGGUUGUCAGCAACUUGGCUUAUAUCUGCAGUGGCUUUGUUUCUCUCCAGUGCAUAAACCAAAGGUAAAAUUGGACUCACGAGCUAACCUUUACCACCAGGCAUUCUUUUACUUGAAGAUGAUAAUAGACUUUCCUUGUGGUGGAAGUUGUGCGCCAUGAGUGCCCUCUCUUGUGUCACCGUACGAGUGUGUAAAGUAAGAAGUGCAGGCAGGGAGUAGCAGGA
RNAcentral lists this long non-coding RNA (1276 nucleotides) under Homo sapiens (human). RNAcentral describes it as "HSALNT0306033". The record is from RNAcentral. Lineage: Eukaryota; Metazoa; Chordata; Mammalia; Primates; Hominidae.